CCGGCCCGUUCAUUAUAUCAUACAAGGAAGUAUGGGGGUACUCCGCAUGCCAGUUCUGAGUUGUGUCCACAUCCUUACACGCUUCGCCAGCCACGGAGAAGAACAGGUAGUAAAGCGUGCGUGGAAGCGUUUGCGCUUAAUAUAAGCGCCCUCACGAAGCUAUCCAUCUCGGACGGUACAAUCUCGGGAGCUGUGUCCACCUCAGGAACCUCGUUCGCAACCGCCCCCGCCGGGGUGUCGCUAGUCUCCUUCACUUGGCACGGAUCAAUAACACGAGACCUCUCCCCCGGUGUGGUGUGAGACCGGAGGAUGCGCGUUGUCAUAUCCUUUGUCUUCAAUUUCCCGAGCAUAGGAACCGACACCCACUCACUCUUGCCCCCCUCGUGCUUGUACUACGGCUGAUGAUACGCUCCUUCUUCUUAAAUCCGAGUACAUCGCGCUCCUUGGCAUCCGGCACGACAGUAGCCUCCUCCCACAGUGUAGGCUCCCUCCUGUUGAACCGACAUGGAGCCGUCGCAUGGGCAGCGUUCAUCUCCGGUCUUCUCCACGCACGAAGCGUCCCACAGCGCCGUCUCCAUGUCACUGAUGUCUUCAUCGAAGAACCGCUCUCGACUCUGGUCCCGGAAGUUGUAGCACGGCUCGUGAUAAAUCACGUAAUCUUAACACACGGGAAUGGAUUUCAACACAUCGAAAUUCACAAGAACUAAUGAACUAAUCUGAUAUACAAUACGAAAGUUAUACGAAAAAUAGUAACGAAAGUAAUAAUAUGCACAUAAUAGAAUAUUUAAAGCACCAUUCACAUAGCAUUCAAGGAAUAUAAUUAUUACAUAAAGUAAUAGAGAUAAUAGAAGUUCUGCAACCAAACAAUGCACGAUCACUGAAAUAAAACACAGGUUAAUUAGCGGAAAGUUAAUUCCAUUAUAUCUACACGUUAUUAUUAGGUGAGAUAAUAAGGUCUCAUAAUUUUAGCCGAUAAUAUCUAGCAGGCGUCGUUGUGAAGGAAUGAUCCUCUAAUUGUCAGUUUUCUAGAAUCUUUGCGGUUGUUGGCUACAACACUUCGUUGAACGGAACGUGUAAUUACUUCAUUAGCGCUCGAUUAACGAAUAAUUCGUGCUACUCGUGCACUUUUCGCCAUAACUUUCCGAAGACCUAUCAAAAAUAGAUGCUACCCCCUCCCCCAUCUAAUCCAAAGUUAAUCCAAAAUCUUUUUAUAUACAUAUUUUAAAAUAUACGUGUGACAUAUUCUUUAUAUGUUGA
This 1257-nucleotide unclassified non-coding RNA is filed under the name Bombus terrestris (buff-tailed bumblebee). RNAcentral describes it as "misc RNA ENSBTSG00005037510.1". Lineage: Eukaryota; Metazoa; Arthropoda; Insecta; Hymenoptera; Apidae. The record is from RNAcentral.